GACGAACGCUGGCGGCGUGCUUAACACAUGCAAGUCGAACGGAAAGGCCCUGCUUUCGUGGGGUGCUCGAGUGGCGAACGGGUGAGUAACACGUGAGUAACCUGCCCUUGACUUUGGGAUAACUUCAGGAAACUGGGGCUAAUACCGGAUCGGAGCUCCUGCUGCAUGGUGGGGGUGGGAAAGUUUCGGCGGUUGGGGAUGGAUUCGCGGCUUAUCAGCUUGUUGGUGGGGGAGUGGCUUACCAAGGCUUUGACGGGUAGCCGGCCUGAGAGGGUGACCGGCCACAUUGGGACUGAGAUACGGCCCAGACGCCUACGGGAGGCAGCAGUGGGGAAUAUUGCACAAUGGGCGGAAGCCGGAUGCAGCAACGCCGCGUGCGGGAUGACGGCCUUCGGGUUGUAAACCGCUUUCGCCUGUGACGAAGCGUGAGUGACGGUAAUGGGUAAAGAAGCACCGGCUAACUACGUG
This 468-nucleotide ribosomal RNA is filed under the name uncultured bacterium. RNAcentral's name for it is "partial 16S ribosomal RNA". It matches the Rfam family "Bacterial small subunit ribosomal RNA", at positions 28 to 507 of the family's 1533-position model. The record is from RNAcentral.